Sinocyclocheilus rhinocerous is the source of this 681-nucleotide long non-coding RNA. RefSeq lists it as uncharacterized. The record is from RefSeq and is a predicted model, not a curated record. NCBI's taxonomy places the organism in Eukaryota, Metazoa, Chordata, Actinopteri, Cypriniformes, Cyprinidae. The transcript is spliced from 2 exons.
ACACAAAAUAAUGUUCUUUUUAGCAACGUCAUAUGAUCCCUUUAAAGCAUUGAUCCUCUCUCUUCUGUAACUGAGCUUUGAUGCAGCCAAAGCUAAUCUACUUUCUGCACUGACCGUUUGUUUAGUGAGAUGAGAAUCCUUUGUGCCCUAUCUUACUAAAUCAGUCCCUUAAACUUUAGGUUACACUGCACUGUGAGCUUUUUUGACCUAUAAAACUUUCUUAAAUCAAGCUUCAAUUUUAUAUGGUAAAUUUGAAUGACUUCUGUUGACUACAAGAUCCACCCUGGAGAUGUUUGUUAUUCAGAUUCUGUCAUACAACUUCCAACAUUACAGUCCUGCUGUGCCAUGAUUGACCUAUGAACUUUCACCUUUGUUUUACACCUGAACUAGCUGAACAUGCUGUUUGCUGUGUUGACUCCGCAUUUGAUCUUGGCAGGUUGACUCAAGAUUGAGUAGAAAAAGCAGGAGAAUGGAUAGAGUGAAAGAGACAGAGCUCACAACAAAAACAAGUGUGUGCUGUCCGCUCUGUCCGAUCACACACAGUCAAGACAUGUGUGUGCUUAAACUCACGCGCCUGGUCCAUGUCCUAAGUUGAAAAACAUACUGACUCAAGUGUCAGGAACAAAAACAAGUUGGCCAUCCUCACAUACCUAGAGAGGGAGAGAAUGAAAGAAAAAAAAA